CCUACGGGAGGCAGCAGUGAGGAAUAUUGGUCAAUGGGCGCGAGCCUGAACCAGCCAAGUAGCGUGAAGGAUGACUGCCCUACGGGUUGUAACCUUCUUUUAUAAAGGAAUAAAGUGAGGCACGUGUGCCUUUUUGUAUGUACUUUAUGAAUAAGGAUCGGCUAACUCCGUGCCAGCAGCCGCGGUAAUACGGAGGAUCCGAGCGUUAUCCGGAUUUAUUGGGUUUAAAGGGAGCGUAGGUGGAUUGUUAAGUCAGUUGUGAACGUUUGCGGCUCAACCGUAAAAUUGCAGUUGAGACUGGCAGUCUUGAGUACAGUAGAGGUGGGCGGAAUUCGUGGUGUAGCGGUGAAAUGCUUAGAUAUCACGAAGAACUCCGAUUGCGAAGGCAGCUCACUGGACUGCAACUGACACUGAGGCUCGAAAGUGUGGGUAUCAAACAGGAUUAGAUACCCGGGUAGUC
RNAcentral lists this ribosomal RNA (460 nucleotides) under uncultured bacterium. RNAcentral's name for it is "partial 16S ribosomal RNA". It matches the Rfam family "Bacterial small subunit ribosomal RNA", at positions 338 to 795 of the family's 1533-position model. The record is from RNAcentral.